GCCAGUGGAAAUAGCACUUUAAAUGGACCACUUCCCCUUGGAUCACUGAAAUAAAGCAACGUUGGGCGUGGUUGGUAUCCGGAUGAAUUACCACCUGGGUGAUUGUAUGCUGCUGGCU
Molecule: ribosomal RNA, 118 nt
Filed under: Diaphorina citri (Asian citrus psyllid)
Lineage: Eukaryota; Metazoa; Arthropoda; Insecta; Hemiptera; Psyllidae
Source: RNAcentral